GGGGGUUAGAGUUGCCAAAAAUCUUAACGUUACCGCAAGUCUUUCCGUCACACUUAAAGAUUUUCUAAAUGUAGUGUCUCGUUUGCCUAUUUUUGCCCCAAUCAAAUUUUGUAGAUAUUCAAAUUCGGAACUGUUCAUUCUUAUAAAAUCUUUUAAGCAACCGUCAAUACCCAAAUCCUUGAGAUAGUCUGUGGCACUAUAUUUUCCUCUAGCUUUUAGCGUUUAACGCAUCCAAUAAGAGCGCUUUUUCUUCUUUUUUAAA
Long non-coding RNA from Helicoverpa zea (corn earworm), 262 nucleotides. RefSeq lists it as uncharacterized. The transcript is spliced from 2 exons. The record is from RefSeq and is a predicted model, not a curated record. NCBI's taxonomy places the organism in Eukaryota, Metazoa, Arthropoda, Insecta, Lepidoptera, Noctuidae.